CGGAGCUGGCUGGCGGCUACGGGGGUAGGCCCUGAGGAAGCUCCGCCCUCCGCGCGGCACGGGAACCCCGUAAGGGGUACGGGGAGAUCCGUGGCAACGGCACAGAAACGAAACGGCCGCCACCCUAUGUCGAUGACGCGGUGAGGACUACCUGGUAACAGGUAGUCAGUAACCCGCUGAUGUAUGGUGGUGGAUGCGUUGAAACGGCCGUCCUCCCGGGAGCAAGGCCAAGCAGCACCGAUGAGGGCCGCGUGAGGUGCGGGUAGGCCGCAGAGUCCAAUGCCGCCGUAGUACAGAAGGCGGGCUAUAGCUGGCACCG
Molecule: RNase P RNA, 319 nt
Filed under: Desulfurococcales archaeon ex4484_204
Lineage: Archaea; Thermoproteati; Thermoproteota; Thermoprotei; Desulfurococcales
Description: RNase P RNA component
Rfam family: Archaeal RNase P
About the family: Ribonuclease P (RNase P) is a ubiquitous endoribonuclease, found in archaea, bacteria and eukarya as well as chloroplasts and mitochondria. Its best characterised activity is the generation of mature 5'-ends of tRNAs by cleaving the 5'-leader elements of precursor-tRNAs.
Source: RNAcentral